Molecule: ribosomal RNA, 484 nt
Filed under: uncultured bacterium
Lineage: Bacteria
Description: partial 16S ribosomal RNA
Rfam family: Bacterial small subunit ribosomal RNA
Source: RNAcentral
AUUGAACGCUGGCGGCAUGCUUUACACAUGCAAGUCGAACGGCAGCGCGGGCUUCGGCCUGGCGGCGAGUGGCGAACGGGUGAGUAAUGCAUCGGAACGUGCCCAGUAGUGGGGGAUAGCCCGGCGAAAGCCGGAUUAAUACCGCAUACGACCUGAGGGUGAAAGCGGGGGACCGAAAGGCCUCGCGCUAUUGGAGCGGCCGAUGUCGGAUUAGCUAGUUGGUGGGGUAAAGGCUUACCAAGGCGACGAUCCGUAGCUGGUCUGAGAGGACGACCAGCCACACUGUGACUGAGACACGGCCCAGACUCCUACGGGAGGCAGCAGUGGGGAAUUUUGGACAAUGGGGGCAACCCUGAUCCAGCCAUGCCGCGUGCGGGAAGAAGGCCUUCGGGUUGUAAACCGCUUUUGUUCGGGAAGAAAUCCUCUGGGCUAAUACCCCGGGGGGAUGACGGUACCGGAAGAAUAAGCACCGGCUAGCUACGUG